RNAcentral lists this ribosomal RNA (397 nucleotides) under uncultured Prevotella sp. Its description in RNAcentral is "bacterial SSU rRNA". It matches the Rfam family "Bacterial small subunit ribosomal RNA", at positions 354 to 749 of the family's 1533-position model. Lineage: Bacteria; Pseudomonadati; Bacteroidota; Bacteroidia; Bacteroidales; Prevotellaceae. The record is from RNAcentral.
UGAGGGAAUAUUGGUCAAUGGACGAGAGUCUGAACCAGCCAAGUAGCGUGCAGGAUGACGGCCCUAUGGGUUGUAAACUGCUUUUAUAAGGGAAUAAAGUUAGAGUCGUGACUCUUUUUGCAUGUACCUUAUGAAUAAGGACCGGCUAAUUCCGUGCCAGCAGCCGCGGUAAUACGGAAGGUCCAGGCGUUAUCCGGAUUUAUUGGGUUUAAAGGGAGCGUAGGCCGCCCCUUAAGCGUGUUGUGAAAUGCCGCGGCUCAACCGUGGCACUGCAGCGCGAACUGGGGGGCUUGAGUGCACGCAACGCAGGCGGAAUUCGUGGUGUAGCGGUGAAAUGCUUAGAUAUCACGAAGAACUCCGAUUGCGAAGGCAGCUUGCGGAGUGCGACUGACGCUGA